Molecule: ribosomal RNA, 433 nt
Filed under: uncultured bacterium
Lineage: Bacteria
Description: partial 16S ribosomal RNA
Rfam family: Bacterial small subunit ribosomal RNA
Source: RNAcentral
AACGAACGCUGGCGGCAUGCCUAACACAUGCAAGUCGAACGAGACCUUCGGGUCUAGUGGCUCACGGGUGCGUAACGCGUGGGAACCUGCCCUUAGGUUCGGAAUAACUCCCCGAAAGGGGUGCUAAUACCGGAUAACGUCUUCGGACCAAAGAUUUAUCGCCUUUGGAUGGGCCCGCGUUGGAUUAGCUAGUUGGUAGGGUAAAAGCCUACCAAGGCGACGAUCCAUAGCUGGUCUGAGAGGAUGAUCAGCCACACUGGGACUGAGACACGGCCCAGACUCCUACGGGAGGCAGCAGUGGGGAAUAUUGGAAAAUGGGCGAAAGCCUGAUCCAGCAAUGCCGCGUGAGUGAUGAAGGCCUUAGGGUUGUAAAGCUCUUUUACCCGGGAUGAUAAUGACAGUACCGGGAGAAUAAGCUCCGGCUAACUCCGUG